UAACUCAGGCUUUUCUGCAUUUCGCAUAAAUCUUUCGCCUUUUACUAAAGAUUUCCGUGCAGAUGGGCAAUUUGAUGAGUCUUUAAUAAUUUUUCACUGGCCGAGCGAAAGUUCGGCCU
This 119-nucleotide small nuclear RNA is filed under the name Patiria miniata (bat star). RNAcentral describes it as "U5 spliceosomal RNA". It matches the Rfam family "U5 spliceosomal RNA". From Rfam's summary of the family: U5 RNA is a component of both types of known spliceosome. Lineage: Eukaryota; Metazoa; Echinodermata; Asteroidea; Valvatida; Asterinidae. The record is from Rfam by way of RNAcentral.